UACGGAGGGUGCAAGCGUUAUCCGGAUUUACUGGGUUUAAAGGGUGUGUAGGCGGGCUUUUAAGUCAGUGGUGAAAUCUCCGGGCUCAACCCGGAAACUGCCAUUGAUACUAUUAGUCUUGAAUUUUGUUGAGGUAGGCGGAAUAAGUCAUGUAGCGGUGAAAUGCAUAGAUAUGACUUAGAACACCAAUUGCGAAGGCAGCUUGCUAAACAAAUAUUGACGCUGAGACACGAAAGCCAGGGGAGCAAACGGG
Molecule: ribosomal RNA, 253 nt
Filed under: uncultured bacterium
Lineage: Bacteria
Description: partial 16S ribosomal RNA
Rfam family: Bacterial small subunit ribosomal RNA
Source: RNAcentral